RNAcentral lists this long non-coding RNA (200 nucleotides) under Vigna radiata. RNAcentral describes it as "long non-coding RNA (VRAD_LNC002225)". Lineage: Eukaryota; Viridiplantae; Streptophyta; Magnoliopsida; Fabales; Fabaceae. The record is from RNAcentral.
AGUAUUUUUUAUUAUACGUAACAAUUUAUGAAUUCUCAUAUGACUAAUAUAUUUUAUUUUUCUAAAUUCUUGGACUUUGUUUUUGUUUUUGUGGGUGAGAGCAUGUCCUUUUUCUUCAAACUUAAACUUAUCCUCCACGUACUGAAAAGAUUCGCAUUUGUCCUUUGCCCUUUGUCCACUCCAUCAAUCCCAAUCCCCCA